GAGUUUGAUCCUGGCUCAGAACGAACGCUGGCGGCGUGCUUAACACAUGCAAGUCGAACGUGAUCCAGAGCUUGCUCUGGUGAAAGUGGCGCACGGGUGAGUAACGCGUGGAUAACCUGCCCUGGUAUCUGGGAUAACAUCUCGAAAGGGGUGCUAAUACCGGAUAAGCCUACGGGCUCUUCGGAGUCUGCAGGAAAAGGAGGCCUCUAUUUAUAAGCUUCCGUAUCAUGAUGGGUCCGCGUACCAUUAGCUAGUUGGUGGGGUAAUGGCCUACCAAGGCGACGAUGGUUAGCUGGUCUGAGAGGAUGAUCAGCCACACUGGAACUGAGACACGGUCCAGACUCCUACGGGAGGCAGCAGUGGGGAAUUUUGCGCAAUGGGGGAAACCCUGACGCAGCAACGCCGCGUGAGUGAUGAAGGCUUUCGGGUCGUAAAGCUCUGUCAGAGGGGAAGAAAUGAAACGUGCUAAUAUCACGUUUUCUUGACGGUACCCUCAAAGGAAGCACCGGCUAACUCCGUGCCAGCAGCCGCGGUAAUACAAGGGCGAMYYCW
This 552-nucleotide ribosomal RNA is filed under the name uncultured Geobacteraceae bacterium. RNAcentral describes it as "bacterial SSU rRNA". It matches the Rfam family "Bacterial small subunit ribosomal RNA", at positions 9 to 536 of the family's 1533-position model. The record is from RNAcentral. Lineage: Bacteria; Pseudomonadati; Thermodesulfobacteriota; Desulfuromonadia; Geobacterales; Geobacteraceae.